AAGUCGUAACAAGGUUUCCGUAGGUGAACCUGCGGAAGGAUCAUUAAUGAAUAAACCGGGUUGUAGCUGGCCGAAAGGCAUGUGCACACCCUUAAACCAAACCAACCACCUGUGCACCUUUUGUAGGUUGGGUCUUCGGGCCCUUCCUAUGUAUCACACAAACCAAAUGUAUGUCUAUUGAAUGUAAUCCGAAGCGUGGCAACACGUUUUAAAACUUAAAACAACUUUCAACAACGGAUCUCUUGGCUCUC
RNAcentral lists this unclassified non-coding RNA (251 nucleotides) under air metagenome. Its description in RNAcentral is "partial contains small subunit ribosomal RNA, internal transcribed spacer 1, and 5.8S ribosomal RNA". The stretch from base 1 to 46 matches the Rfam family "Eukaryotic small subunit ribosomal RNA", at positions 1786 to 1831 of the family's 1831-position model. The record is from RNAcentral.